This 382-nucleotide ribosomal RNA is filed under the name uncultured bacterium. RNAcentral's name for it is "bacterial SSU rRNA". It matches the Rfam family "Bacterial small subunit ribosomal RNA", at positions 519 to 903 of the family's 1533-position model. The record is from RNAcentral.
GGUAAUACGGAGGGYGCAAGCGUUAUCCGGAUUCACUGGGUUUAAAGGGUGCGUAGGCGGGUAGGUAAGUCAGUGGUGAAAUCCUGGAGCUCAACUUCAGAACUGCCAUUGAUACUAUUUAUCUUGAAUAUUGUGGAGGUAAGCGGAAUAUGUCAUGUAGCGGUGAAAUGCUUAGAUAUGACAUAGAACACCUAUUGCGAAGGCAGCUUACUACGCAUAUAUUGACGCUGAGGCACGAAAGCGUGGGGAUCAAACAGGAUUAGAUACCCUGGUAGUCCACGCCCUAAACUAUGAUUACUCGACAUUUGUGAUACACAAUAAGUGUCUGAGCGAAAGCAUUAAGUAAUCCACCUGGGAAGUACGUCCGCAAGGAUGAAACUCA